Molecule: ribosomal RNA, 253 nt
Filed under: uncultured bacterium
Lineage: Bacteria
Description: partial 16S ribosomal RNA
Rfam family: Bacterial small subunit ribosomal RNA
Source: RNAcentral
GACAGAGGUGCCGAGCGUUAGGCGGAAUCACUGGGCUUAAAGCGUGUGUAGGCGGUUCCGUAAGUACCUUGUGAAAUCCCCCGGCUCAACCGGGGAAUUGCUGGGCAUACUGGCGGUCUUGAGCGAUCUAGGGGCAGAUGGAACAAGUGGUGGAGCGGUGAAAUGCGUAGAUAUCACUUGGAACGCCAAAGGUGAAGACAGUCUGCUGGGGAUCUGCUGACGCUGAGACACGAAAGCCAGGGGAGCGAACGGG